AUUGGAUGAGCCCGCGGCCUAUCAGCUUGUUGGUGGGGUAACGGCCUACCAAGGCUUCGACGGGUAGUUGGCGUGAGAGCGUGGCCAACCACACUGGGACUGAGACACGGCCCAGACUCCUACGGGAGGCAGCAGUGGGGAAUAUUGCGCAAUGGGCGAAAGCCUGACGCAGCGACACCGCGUGCGGGAUGAAGGCCUUCGGGUUGUAAACCGCUUUCGGCAGGGACGAAGCGAAAGUGACGGUACCUGCAGAAGAAGGUCCGGCUAACUACGUGCCAGCAGCCGCGGCCGAAU
This 294-nucleotide ribosomal RNA is filed under the name uncultured actinomycete. RNAcentral's name for it is "partial 16S ribosomal RNA". It matches the Rfam family "Bacterial small subunit ribosomal RNA", at positions 220 to 526 of the family's 1533-position model. The record is from RNAcentral. Lineage: Bacteria; Bacillati; Actinomycetota; Actinomycetes; Actinomycetales.